RNAcentral lists this ribosomal RNA (575 nucleotides) under Escherichia coli. RNAcentral's name for it is "bacterial SSU rRNA". It matches the Rfam family "Bacterial small subunit ribosomal RNA", at positions 1 to 565 of the family's 1533-position model. The record is from RNAcentral. Lineage: Bacteria; Pseudomonadati; Pseudomonadota; Gammaproteobacteria; Enterobacterales; Enterobacteriaceae.
AAAUUGAAGAGUUUGAUCAUGGCUCAGAUUGAACGCUGGCGGCAGGCCUAACACAUGCAAGUCGAACGGUAACAGGAAGCAGCUUGCUGCUUCGCUGACGAGUGGCGGACGGGUGAGUAAUGUCUGGGAAACUGCCUGAUGGAGGGGGAUAACUACUGGAAACGGUAGCUAAUACCGCAUAAUGUCGCAAGACCAAAGAGGGGGACCUUCGGGCCUCUUGCCAUCGGAUGUGCCCAGAUGGGAUUAGCUAGUAGGUGGGGUAACGGCUCACCUAGGCGACGAUCCCUAGCUGGUCUGAGAGGAUGACCAGCCACACUGGAACUGAGACACGGUCCAGACUCCUACGGGAGGCAGCAGUGGGGAAUAUUGCACAAUGGGCGCAAGCCUGAUGCAGCCAUGCCGCGUGUAUGAAGAAGGCCUUCGGGUUGUAAAGUACUUUCAGCGGGGAGGAAGGGAGUAAAGUUAAUACCUUUGCUCAUUGACGUUACCCGCAGAAGAAGCACCGGCUAACUCCGUGCCAGCAGCCGCGGUAAUACGGAGGGUGCAAGCGUUAAUCGGAAUUACUGGGCGUAAAG